This 356-nucleotide RNase P RNA is filed under the name Acinetobacter haemolyticus. Its description in RNAcentral is "RNase P RNA component class A". It matches the Rfam family "Bacterial RNase P class A". From Rfam's summary of the family: Ribonuclease P (RNase P) is a ubiquitous endoribonuclease, found in archaea, bacteria and eukarya as well as chloroplasts and mitochondria. Its best characterised activity is the generation of mature 5'-ends of tRNAs by cleaving the 5'-leader elements of precursor-tRNAs. Lineage: Bacteria; Pseudomonadati; Pseudomonadota; Gammaproteobacteria; Moraxellales; Moraxellaceae. The record is from RNAcentral.
GAAGUGGGCUGGACGGUCGCUGCUGUGGAGGUCUCCGUGACUGAAGCAGGGGAGGAAAGUCCGGGCUUCAUAGGGCAGGGUGCCAGGUAACGCCUGGGCGGUGUAAACCGACGGCAAGUGCAGCAGAGAGUAGACCGCCUCAUUCGUGAGGUAAGGGUGAAAGGGUGCGGUAAGAGCGCACCGCGUGUCUGGUAACAGUUCACGGCAAGGUAAACCCCACCAGAAGCAAGACCAAAUAGGAAUCCUGAGGCACGGCCCGUGCUGGAUUCGGGUAGGUCGCUUGAGCGUAUGAGUGAUUGUACGCCUAGAGGAAUGAUCGUCCUCGACAGAACCCGGCUUACAGGCCCACUUCUAAG